Molecule: ribosomal RNA, 468 nt
Filed under: uncultured bacterium
Lineage: Bacteria
Description: partial 16S ribosomal RNA
Rfam family: Bacterial small subunit ribosomal RNA
Source: RNAcentral
GACGAACGCUGGCGGCGUGCUUAACACAUGCAAGUCGAACGGAAAGACCCUGCUUUUGUGGGGUGCUCGAGUGGCGAACGGGUGAGUAACACGUGAGUAACCUGCCCUUGACUUUGGGAUAACUUCACGAAACUGGGGCUAAUACCGGAUAGGAGCUCCUGCUGCAUGGUGGGGGUUGGAAAGUUUCGGCUGUUGGGGAUGGACUCGCGGCUUAUCAGCUUGUUGGUGUGGUAGUGGCUUACCAAGGCUUUGACGGGUAGCCGGCCUGAGAGGGUGACCGGCCACAUUGGGACUGAGAUACGGCCCAGACUCCUACGGGAGGCAGCAGUGGGGAAUAUUGCACAACGGGCGGAAGCCAGAUGCAGCAACGCCGCGUGCGGGAUGACGGCCUUCGGGUUGUAAACCGCUUUCGCCUGUGACGAAGCGUGAGUGACGGUAAUGGGUAAAGAAGCACCGGCUAACUACGUG